RNAcentral lists this transfer RNA (71 nucleotides) under Mesocricetus auratus (golden hamster). It matches the Rfam family "tRNA". Rfam says of the family: Transfer RNA (tRNA) molecules are approximately 80 nucleotides in length. Their secondary structure includes four short double-helical elements and three loops (D, anti-codon, and T loops). Lineage: Eukaryota; Metazoa; Chordata; Mammalia; Rodentia; Cricetidae. The record is from Rfam by way of RNAcentral.
AGGAUGUAGUUCAGAAACAGAAUGUAUUCUUGGCAUGCAUAAGACCCUGGGUUCAGUUCCCAGCAUCACUG